Molecule: ribosomal RNA, 476 nt
Filed under: uncultured bacterium
Lineage: Bacteria
Description: partial 16S ribosomal RNA
Rfam family: Bacterial small subunit ribosomal RNA
Source: RNAcentral
GAUGAACGCUGGCGGCGUGCUUAACACAUGCAAGUCGAGCGAGUGAGUUCUUUGGACCGAUCUAGCGGCGGACGGGUGAGUAACACGUGGGCAACCUGCCUCAUAGAGGGGAAUAGCCUUUGGAAAGGAAGAUUAAUACCUCCUAAGAUAGUAGCUUCGCAUGAAGUAGCAAUUAAAGGAGCAAUCCGCUAUGAGGUGGGCCCGCGGCGCAUUAGCUAGUUGGUGAGGUAACGGCUCACCAAGGCGACGAUGCGGAGCCGACCUGAGAGGGUGAUCGGCCACAUUGGGACUGAGACACGGCCCAGACUCCUACGGGAGGCAGCAGUGGGGAAUAUUGCACAAUGGGGGAAACCCUGAUGCAGCAACGCCGCGUGAGUGAUGACGGCCUUCGGGUUGUAAAGCUCUGUCUUCAGGGACGAUAAUGACGGUACCUGAGGAGGAAGCCACGGCUAACUACGUGCCAGCCGCCGCCGUAA